Molecule: long non-coding RNA, 375 nt
Filed under: Capra hircus (goat)
Lineage: Eukaryota; Metazoa; Chordata; Mammalia; Artiodactyla; Bovidae
Description: lncRNA (ENSCHIG00000002794.1)
Source: RNAcentral
GCGCUGCCUCUGGCUCUAUGCAAGAUGGCCUCUGCCGAAGGCCCUCACUGGCACUGCUCGUGUUUCUAGAAUGCUAGUGCCUUGGUAGUGUUGCUGGUACCACCGGUGAGGCUAUCAGGGACAUCAAAUGACGGACACCUCCACCGCAUCUGGAGAUUCCUGGGUUGCAGGCACUGCCAUUGUUGGAACAAUGAAUCGAGGCUUGAAGUGAAAGAACCAUCUUGAUGUCAUGGCAACAGAAGGCAACAGCAAGGAUAGUAGUGCAAGAACCCAGAAGGGCCAUGAUCAGAGGAGACUUCAGAGAUCCAGGGCAGGAGAGGAACUGGAGAACACCACUAUCUUGUCUGAUCCCUUUCCUGGCCUGAAAAGACUGGC